This 484-nucleotide ribosomal RNA is filed under the name uncultured bacterium. Its description in RNAcentral is "partial 16S ribosomal RNA". It matches the Rfam family "Bacterial small subunit ribosomal RNA", at positions 30 to 507 of the family's 1533-position model. The record is from RNAcentral.
AUUGAACGCUGGCGGCAUGCCUUACACAUGCAAGUCGAACGGUAACGAGCCGUCUGCUGCCGGCUAGUGGGGCACGGGGGUGUAAUACAUCGGGACGUGUGCCAGCGUGGGGGGGAACGAGGCGAAAGCUGUGCUAAUAUCGCGUACGAGCUACGAGGGAGAGCGUGGGGCCGCAUGGCCUCUCGCGGUCGCAGCUGACCCUAGGACGGAUUAGCUAGUUGGUGGGGUAAAAGCAUACCAAGGAGACGAUCUGUAGCUGGUCUGAGAGGAUGAUCAGCCACACUGGAACUGAGACACGGCCCAGACUCCUACGGGAGGCAGCAGUGGGGAAUUUUGGACAAAGGGCGAAAGCCUGAUCCAGCCAUGCCGCGUGUAGGAUGAAGGUCUUCGGGUUGUAAAGUGCUUUUGUACGGAAGGAAAAGCAUUAUUUUAAUACCGGGGGGUCAUGACGGUACCGUAAGAAUAAGCACCGGCUAACUACGUG